CCCGUCCGUCCCCUCAACCAAAUGGGAGGAGUGUAAUAUCUCUGCUCUGCAAUGUUCCGGUUUCCGCUAAGGAGACACCCCAGUUCGCUAAGGGAGCAGCUAGUGUGCUGUGGUAAGGGGGGAGGUUUGGGGAGGCUAAAGGCUGGAUUAAGCAUAGUUAGCAGCCGAGAUGGUGAAUAUAACUAGUAUAGCGACGUUGCUCAAGUGACUGCGUGUGGUCAGGGCGAUAUUAAAACGAUUUUCUCAAGAAAGAUAACAACCUUUUUCAGCAUGGACUCCAUGCACAUAACACACGUCUGAAGUGCACUUGAAUUGUGUGUAUACUCCAAACAAAACUGACCAUGAUGUACCGCUUGUUUUCCGCCUUGGGUGUUCUAUUCGGAAUGGCCUCAGCGGACGGCUCUUAUGGCUUAGGGCCGAAGCCAAAGAGGAUAUGUCCUGGGAUGCCAUUCAGUUUUACACUGACAUAUAAGAUAAGCGGAGCAGACUUGAUGUUCUACAAGAACGGGGUUGAGAGGAAGGUUGCCACUACCAAGGAGAUUAUAGACCCCCAGUUUCGGCUCAAUGGCACUGUACCUUAUUUACCCGAGGUCAUGAAAACGCAUGAAGGGAAGUAUUAUUGGAAGGCUCCAUCGGUCGAUUUUGAACUGAAUUACAUCAGACUAAUUCUGAAAGACUGCAGUGUUCGUCAAAAUGUGGUGUACGGUGAGGAGUUGGCCUUAAAUGUGCCGGCGGACGCGUCUGUGUUGGAGUUCACCCCUCACCUCUCAGACCAACACUCCGUCCUGUGGAGACGGAUACACAGAGGGGGGGACGAGGAAGCAAGGGGCGCGGUUAAGGACGGCCGCUGGACAGCACAGAGGAUGACCCAAGCGGAUCAGGGGCGCUACACUUUACUCAGGGAGAGUGGUGGCCAGAUCUCCAGCACUGUGGUCUCUGUUGAAGAACUCCAAAUACAUGCUCACGUGGCUGAUGACGACGUCAGAGAUCACUGGAGAACUGAUGUUAAUAUCUCUGCACGGGAGGCUGUAGUCACUUACUUUACGGCUUUCGGGGGUGAGCAUGUGCUCUUCCGAGACGGCAUGGAGACUGAUGAGGGCUUCGACAUUUUUGGAAAUCGUAUCACACUCCAAAAGUCAACGCUCCAAAAGUCAACUUUCAGCAUCAGCAAAGCGCAGCCAAGUGACGCAGGACGAUACGAGAUCCAUGACAAGAAUGGACAUCUGGCCAUCUCACUGUAUCUGGAGAGAGACCCUGAGUUUGAUCUUAAGAGUUUAGCCACUCCCCUUGGCAUAUCUGCGGGCGUGCUGGCAGGACUGCUGUGCUGUUGCUGGUGCUGUUGCAAGUGCUGUAGUGAUGACGACGGUGACAAGACUGAGUCCGCCGCUGCUUCUCCAGACACCGAGCAACUCGCCCACGUCCAUGAUCCCAGUGAGAUGUCUGGACCCGGCGACCCCUUGCAACCUCCAUCAUCUGCUCCCUCUUCAGGUGACACCAAUGAACUAACGGCCUCCAUGGCGUACCCCCCCAACCCCUGGGAGAACAGUCCACCUCCUUACUUUCCUGACCCAGCGUCAAGGCCACACAGCAUAGUGGUCCCCGUGGAGCCCAGCGUCCCUGAGUGGGUUCCAAGCGUCCCUGAGUGUGUUCCCAGCGUCCCUGAGUGGGUUCCCAGCGUCCCUGAGUGUGUUCCCAGUCCGUACAGUUCAGCAGCUCCCACUGCUCCUCCUGAGGCUCCUGAUGGAGGAGGAGGAGGUGAUCGUGGUGCUCCCACCGCCCCUUCUGCACCCCCCGACCCUGGUCUGCGGUACCAGUCGAGAGCCUGGGGUAGUGGCCAGGAUGACUUUCUCUCCAGCUCUCCUCUCUGCAUGGACAGCGCCACCGACAGCUGCACCUUCACCUCAAACAAUCUCAACUUCUAGACCGAUGCGUUCCGUUGACAACUCGGGAUCGAUGGAGCAUUUUCACACGCAGUGCGCUGUGACUUGUGUUGCGUCCUACUGACUGGUACGCUGUGAUUUAGACACGUAGUUUCACGCUCAAAGGCAACGCGCACUACUUCAUUUGCACUGGGCCUGUUCUGCUGCAGUGCUGGAGUGGAUCUGUCAAUACCACAGACUCUCACGCCAUCCAAAGGGCCACCAUCUUUCUUUGACCUGUUACUCUGUGUCUAAUGUCUGUGAGUCUGUUCGUGUCUGCUAGUGUCUUAUGUCCCUAUCUCAUGUAAGUAGGCCAUUUCAUGUAUCCUUUUCUUAGCUUGCUAGAAUUGGUAGCAAUGCAAGUCUGUGUUAUUUUACAUAUUUAUCACACAGGAUUGUAAUGUUCUUACUGCCUGAUCAGGUCCAAUCUCAUUCACAAGCCUUGGUGUUUUUUUGUGUCUUUUUAUGUAUGCGAUUUUAUCUCACUUUGUUGUAACUUUAUAAUGGUGGAUAAUGAAAAGACAUUUUCAGUCCCAAACGUGCUCUAAAUGCCUAUGUAAGGCCUUCAGUAUCCAAAAGUGGCCUUAUCCUAUCUCAGUGCAAUUAAUCAUGUUGUUGUUUAUUUCUGUUUACACUGUAACACCCUGAAACCAUUACUAUGUUUACAAAUGACUAUUUAACACUUUAACACAAAGUAACAGUCUGGGGCGGUCAACUCAUUUUGAAUGAUAUUAUACUGUCUAGGUUUGGUGUACACCCUGAUUAAAAAGAUGACCCCCCCCCCACCACCAUCACCAAAUGUCAUGUCAUUACAUAAUUCACUCUGCAUGAAAUCUUUCCACAUGUAUUUAGAUGUAAGCCAUUAUGUGAAAGUGCCACAAAUUACAGCCAUGUUUAGAUAUUGGUAGGUUUCACGUACAAGCCAUAUAAAUGGAUCCCCUCAUGUAGUCUCAGAUAACAUUAGACUUAAUUGUUGGCUUUUGUCUACAGCCACAACAAGAUGUUUGGAGCCAGGCAUAUUAGCAUUUUGAUUGCCAUGGUCAAGCUAGACCCCCACCUGCCUGGCAUUCACACACCCCUAUACCCCUUUCCUUACAUGCCCCUACCUCACACCUUGAACUAGGACAUACCCACCCCCUCUCCUUAUUCUUUACACCUAACACAGAACUUCCUCCCCAGACCUGAAGGUAAUCGUUUAUGCCAUUUUUUAGUAUGUUAAUUAUGUAGUCCUAUAAGGGAUACAUUUUUUUUUUUAACAAACAAACAAACAAGGCUGACUCACGUCAGUUUUUUUAUUGCACAAGCGACACACACGUGGUUAUGGAGAAGACACAGGACACACACACACACGCAGGCCUCAGGUCACUGUGAAUGUAAUCUCUGCCUUUAACCCAUCCCGGACUGUCCUUCCUCCAGGACCCCAGGAGCAGUGGGCAGCUUUUCAGCGCCCGGGGACCAAGUGAACCGUCUGUCUUGGUCAGGACGGACAGGAGAGUGUUCUGUUCUUUUUGCAUGUUUUUCUGUUGGGGUUCUUAGUGGAGGAAACCCCUUGUGAACACGUGGAGAACAUGCAAACUCCACACAUAAUUAUGUUACCAUUCAUAAGAGGGCGGCAAAGACAGUGGAAGAUAACCGCUAACUUGUAACUUGUUGCUGUGAGUUAGAAAUUCCGAGGCUAAAACUUUGUUGGAAUAAACAGA
This is a long non-coding RNA of Clupea harengus (Atlantic herring), 3619 nucleotides long. NCBI's taxonomy places the organism in Eukaryota, Metazoa, Chordata, Actinopteri, Clupeiformes, Clupeidae. The record is from Ensembl.